GGGAAUGUGGCUUAAUGGUAGAGUGCUUGCCUACCAUGCAUGAAGCCCUGGGUUCGAUUCCUCAGUACCA
RNAcentral lists this transfer RNA (70 nucleotides) under Dipodomys ordii (Ord's kangaroo rat). It matches the Rfam family "tRNA". Rfam says of the family: Transfer RNA (tRNA) molecules are approximately 80 nucleotides in length. Lineage: Eukaryota; Metazoa; Chordata; Mammalia; Rodentia; Heteromyidae. The record is from Rfam by way of RNAcentral.